Molecule: long non-coding RNA, 715 nt
Organism: Gossypium raimondii (Peruvian cotton)
Lineage: Eukaryota; Viridiplantae; Streptophyta; Magnoliopsida; Malvales; Malvaceae
Exons: 2
Source: RefSeq, a predicted model, not a curated record
UUUUUUACCUUUUUUUAUUUCCUUUUUUUUUUUCUCUCUUUUUCUUUUUCCUUUCUUCUUCUUCUCUUAACUUUCUUUUCCUUCCUUUCAAACUCUAGCCGCCACCAUUGGUGGCUCUUUGCUCCGUUCGGCGGUGUAACGGCCGGCUUCCUUCUCCUCUCUGUCUCCCUUUCUUUUCUCUUCUCUUUUCUUCCUUUUUCCUUUGGGUUGCUGUUUUUUUCUUUUUCUUACUUAUUGCUUAUUGCUUUUUCAUUUUCUCUUUGCUUGUAGCCUUGUUUGAUUGUGUUGUAGGUGCGGGGACGGUGGUGACAGUGCUGUAGUGGUGGUGGUGACGGUGCUGUCGUGGUGGUGGGGACGGUGGCGCGCGGUGGAGCUGCUAUUUUCCUUGUGGCAGAAGAGCCAUCAUGGCCUAGGGAGGCUGCUGGAGUAGCUCGGCUGGGAGGGGUAGGCUCGGUUGUUGCUGCUGCGAUUAGACAAGUCCAGAAGGACAAGAUUGCAUAAGAUACAAAGUUUCUGGGGCGAAAGUGCAAUUUUAGCAAAAAUUGGGCCAAAAUGUAAUUUCUUGAAAAUUUAGGGCCCUGAAUGUAAUUUAUAAAAUAUUAGGGGUCAAAAUGUAAAUUUAGAAAAAACUAGGGGUCAAAAUGUAAUUUUUGAAAAAUUCAGGGGCUAAAACGCAAUUUUUAAAAAAACGUAAAUUCGUCCCGGACAAAAUUAA